This 477-nucleotide ribosomal RNA is filed under the name uncultured bacterium. Its description in RNAcentral is "partial 16S ribosomal RNA". It matches the Rfam family "Bacterial small subunit ribosomal RNA", at positions 30 to 507 of the family's 1533-position model. The record is from RNAcentral.
AUUGAACGCUGGCGGCAUGCCUUACACAUGCAAGUCGAACGGUAACAGGUUAAGCUGACGAGUGGCGAACGGGUGAGUAAUGUAUCGGAACGUGCCCCGUCGUGGGGGAUAACUGCUCGAAAGAGCAGCUAAUACCGCAUACGCCCUGAGGGUGAAAGCGGGGGAUCGCAAGACCUCGCGCGAUUGGAGCGGCCGAUAUCAGAUUAGGUAGUUGGUGAGGUAAAGGCUCACCAAGCCGACGAUCUGUAGCUGGUCUGAGAGGACGACCAGCCACACUGGGACUGAGACACGGCCCAGACUCCUACGGGAGGCAGCAGUGGGGAAUAUUGGACAAUGGGCGCAAGCCUGAUCCAGCCAUGCCGCGUGCGGGAAGAAGGCCUUCGGGUUGUAAACCGCUUUUGUCAGGGAAGAAAAGGUGCUGGCUAAUACCUGGGACUCAUGACGGUACCUGAAGAAUAAGCACCGGCUAACUACGUG